This 251-nucleotide long non-coding RNA is filed under the name Elaeis guineensis (African oil palm). RNAcentral's name for it is "long non-coding RNA (EGUI_LNC047512)". Lineage: Eukaryota; Viridiplantae; Streptophyta; Magnoliopsida; Arecales; Arecaceae. The record is from RNAcentral.
AAAAGCAUUUAUAUUCUAUUUUGACUGUAUUAAAAUGAAGGGUCCUACUUAACUAAAAUAUUAUGGUCUGUUGUGUAAACACAGGCUAUUAAUGUUUUAGAGGCCAGGAUUUUUAUUGAGAAUUGCAUGAGAUGCAAUUGGAAAGAGUUUCCUACCUUUAAACUUAUAAAAGGUUUGUUAUGCAACCACAAGAUCUUUUAUAAGGAAUUAGGGUCUCGAUCCCACUAAGAAAAUCAAUCAGGGUUUUCUCG